RNAcentral lists this ribosomal RNA (244 nucleotides) under uncultured bacterium. RNAcentral describes it as "partial 16S ribosomal RNA". It matches the Rfam family "Bacterial small subunit ribosomal RNA", at positions 91 to 334 of the family's 1533-position model. The record is from RNAcentral.
CUGAGCGGCGGACGGGUGAGUAACGCGUGGGUAACCGUGCCUCAUACAGGGGGAUAACAGUUGGAAACGGCUGCUAAUACCGCAUAAGCGCACAGUACCGCAUGGUACGGUGUGAAAAACUCCGGUGGUAUGAGAUGGACCCGCGUCUGAUUAGGUAGUUGGUGGGGUAACGGCCUACCAAGCCGACGAUCAGUAGCCGACCUGAGAGGGUGACCGGCCACAUUGGGACUGAGACACGGCCCAA